AUUGAACGCUGGCGGCAGGCCUAACACAUGCAAGUCGAGCGGAUGAAGGGAGCUUGCUCCUGGAUUCAGCGGCGGACGGGUGAGUAAUGCCUAGGAAUCUGCCUGGUAGUGGGGGAUAACGUCCGGAAACGGGCGCUAAUACCGCAUACGUCCUGAGGGAGAAAGUGGGGGAUCUUCGGACCUCACGCUAUCAGAUGAGCCUAGGUCGGAUUAGCUAGUUGGUGGGGUAAAGGCCUACCAAGGCGACGAUCCGUAACUGGUCUGAGAGGAUGAUCAGGAACAGGGGGAGUGAGACACGGCCCAGACUCUUACGGGAGGCGUCGGUUGGGAAUUGUGGAAAAUGGGCGGAAUCUUGAUCAAGCGAUGCCGGGUGUGUGAAGAGGGUCUUCGGAUGGUAAAGCACUUUAAGUUGGGGGGAAGGGCAGUAAGUUAAUCCCUUGUUGUUUUGACGUUACCAACAGAAUAAGCACCGGCUAACUUCGUG
RNAcentral lists this ribosomal RNA (484 nucleotides) under uncultured bacterium. RNAcentral describes it as "partial 16S ribosomal RNA". It matches the Rfam family "Bacterial small subunit ribosomal RNA", at positions 30 to 507 of the family's 1533-position model. The record is from RNAcentral.